RNAcentral lists this ribosomal RNA (497 nucleotides) under uncultured bacterium. RNAcentral's name for it is "partial 16S ribosomal RNA". It matches the Rfam family "Bacterial small subunit ribosomal RNA", at positions 28 to 507 of the family's 1533-position model. The record is from RNAcentral.
GAUGAACGCUGGCGGCGUGCCUAAUACAUGCAAGUCGAGCGAACAGACGAGGAGCUUGCUCCUCUGACGUUAGCGGCGGACGGGUGAGUAACACGUGGAUAACCUACCUAUAAGACUGGGAUAACUUCGGGAAACCGGAGCUAAUACCGGAUAAUAUAUUGAACCGCAUGGUUCAAUAGUGAAAGACGGUUUUGCUGUCACUUAUAGAUGGAUCCGCGCCGCAUUAGCUAGUUGGUAAGGUAACGGCUUACCAAGGCGACGAUGCGUAGACGACCUGAGAGGGUGGUCCGCCACACUGGAACUGAGACACGGUCCAGACUCCUACGGGAGGCAGCAGUAGGGAAUCUUCCGCAAUGGGCGAAAGCCUGACGGAGCAACGCCGCGUGAGUGAUGAAGGUCUUCGGAUCGUAAAACUCUGUUAUUAGGGAAGAACAAAUGUGUAAGUAACUAUGCACGUCUUGACGGUACCUAAUCAGAAAGCCACGGCUAACUACGUG